UACGAAGGGGGCUAGCGUUGUUCGGAAUUACUGGGCGUAAAGCGCACGUAGGCGGACAUUUAAGUCAGGGGUGAAGUCCCGGGGCUCAACCCCGGAACUGCCUUUGAUACUGGGUGUCUUGAGUCCGGAAGAGGUGAGUGGAAUUCCGAGUGUAGAGGUGAAAUUCGUAGAUAUUCGGAGGAACACCAGUGGCGAAGGCGGCUCACUGGUCCGGUACUGACGCUGAGGUGCGAAAGCGUGGGGAGCAAACAGG
Molecule: ribosomal RNA, 253 nt
Filed under: uncultured bacterium
Lineage: Bacteria
Description: partial 16S ribosomal RNA
Rfam family: Bacterial small subunit ribosomal RNA
Source: RNAcentral